AGGAGCAACAAUAGAAGCUUUCCUGGGGCCUUCAGUCUCAGUGUUUGUCAUUAUUAUGGCCUGUGGACUAUUUCCAUUCUCUGGAUAAAGAAACCAGAACACAGAGAAUUGAAGUGGAUCUUUCAAUUCCACAUAAUUAGCUCAUUGAGAAUGUGAUGCCAACUCAGCUCAUUCCACUUUAUUAAUGUUGCAGUGCAAUACUGAAGAUAGGAAAUAAUUAGAUUUCUGCAUGGCUGUUGAUGUGGCCUCUCAAGAUAUUUUCAUGAGCAACACAGAAAAAUUUGGAUUGGUAAAUUGGAUUCUUAACCAUUUGGAAAACGUUACGGUCAGUUUGGGGUAUAGUGUCAUCUCAACAGCAUUAAGCCUUCUGAUCCAUGAAACUGAGAUGUCAAAAGACUACAUAGUCAUAUUUAGAUCAAUUUUAUAAUCAACAAAUACAUACAAUGUAAAGGAAAAUAUAUUUGGACUGAAAGUAAAAAGAAAGAUUCUAAUAAGUAUAGCUGUCCUUGUGAGAUAGUGAGCAUUCAAUAACCAAUGGUGUUCAACCAACAGUGCAACUGAUCAGGUGUUACAGAAGGAAGUUGCCACCAUAAAUAAUUCUAUCCAACCAUUGUUCCUGCCCUUGGUUCACACUAUCAAGAUUUGAAGUCCUGGAAGAAAACACCCUGUCAGUCAAGAUUAAGUCAUAUACCUACCUCAUUGAAACACAAGGAGGAGGAGAAGACUGCCACAGUCCUCCCAGCUCCAUAGUUGAAGGCAUGAAGAAGGAAUCAUUCUCCUACCAAAAGACACAGAGUAAGGGAGAGGUAACUCUCCAAGGAGAAAUCGGGAUACUAUCAGAUUUUGAUGUUGGGCAGUCAGUCAAAGAAAGUCAAAUACUCUCUCCAUACAAGCAAUGCAGUUGUUGAUUUUAUUUAAAGCCUACUUUAAUUUUAAUCCUGGCAGCCUCAGAAAUCAAAAUUUCUCUUAUUGAGGCACUGUGCCACCCAUUUUUGUUUGUUUGUUUACAAUACAAAGAAAUAAAGCCAAGGUU
Molecule: long non-coding RNA, 1033 nt
Organism: Canis lupus familiaris (dog)
Lineage: Eukaryota; Metazoa; Chordata; Mammalia; Carnivora; Canidae
Exons: 6
Source: RefSeq, a predicted model, not a curated record